Molecule: long non-coding RNA, 1309 nt
Organism: Physella acuta
Lineage: Eukaryota; Metazoa; Mollusca; Gastropoda; Physidae
Source: RefSeq, a predicted model, not a curated record
ACUACUGCCUUGUAUGGAAGCAUUUCCAGAAAGAAUAGGCUGAACUCUGUGUCAAUGGCCUAUGAAGCGCAUAAAGAGUUCACACGUUGAACCGUAAUUGUGUUGGAAAUAGUCACGUCUAACAUUACAAUUAAGCAGAGGAAGCUGUUUCUAUUAAUGCAGAGCUGUUCAACAUUUCACAGAAACAAGUGAACUCUACUUCACUUGCCCUAUAGACCGUCAGGUUUACCAAGUGUUUCUAUAAGCUGGAUUUAUCACUACUCUUGUUAAUUAACACAAGCCAAUAGAAAUGAGACAUGUGAUAAAACCUACAUUCAAAAAUUGAAUUUAACGUGUCAUGAACAGAACACUUGUAUUCUCCCAGCCGUUGGCAUCGCGAAUUGACUAAAUAAGCAUCGCGAAUUGACUAAAUAAUAAAUUACUGUUAUUAUUUGGUAGCAUUAUUUCAUAACAAUUUUUCCUCAGCUGAUUAAAAUGAAGUUCGCGGUUCUCCUUCUCGUGGUCCUGGUGUGUCUGUUAAAUCUCAUCGUUGAAUCCGAAAGUUGUUGUAAAACGUAUGGUCAACGUUGUGGCGAAGGCACAGACUGCUGUCCUUUUCUUGAGUGUAGCCUCAAGAGCAUAGGGUUUGCCUGUGCUUGACGUGGAAAACCAAACGGUAAAAAAACUAAAAGAAUAAAAGAGACUAUAAAAAAAAAAUAUCGAUCAUUGACAAAAGUUUUAACUUUUUUCCUUCAAUUUAGUUUUUAACCAAAUAGGGAUUGAUAAAAAGAGAAUAUGUCACCACAUAAAACAUACUAAACUGCUGACUGUUGUGGGGAUUUUUCAAUGAAUCUUAUUAGUUGGAGUUAUGCAUGUAGCACAGAGAAAUAAAUGUACUUGUCUUUAUUUUAUAUCCGCGUGUUACUGUCUGAUAUAUGAUAUAGCCGCUAUGUGAUUUAUGUCAUUUGAUAAAUGCCCUUGUUUCUGAUGGUGACCGGAAAAAUGCGCAGCUGAAAAUUGUGCAACAGAAAACAUGAAUGGGCAUUUGUGUUUUCUUAAAUCGAUCAUUUAAAGACAUUAACAAAGAAUUAAUAGAUGUACAUUUUAGCAUACUACACCAUACUUCACCGAAAUAUGACACAAUUAAAUUAAAAUGGAUUAGUAUAAUUAGUUUGUAUUUGCGCAUUUUUCUGUUUGGGCAGUUUUCCGAUGCGCAGUUUUGUGUCGAAACAUCAAAGCAUUACUAUCAUAGUUACUUAAUAUCUCGUGAGUUACCACCACAUGAUAACAUAUUGAAUAGAAAAAUUAAUUUUCCACGGUAUAUAAAUGU